UAGCCUUGCGCAAUCCCUGCACCUGCCCUACGAGCACACGCCCCUGCUGCGCCGUCGCUUGCCCCUUCGCAUCGCCGCUCGCCUCGUCCAGGACGUCAAGCCCUUGGCGCACCUAGCCCCUUGGUCUACUGCACCCGAGCACCCUGCUCGCCGGUGCCCUCCUGCUCACGUUGCAUGUGCCUGCGCGUCGCCACCCCUGAGCCCUCCUCGUCGAACCUGAAGAUCGCCGCCGCCGGAUGUCGCGGUUGCCCGAUUCGUCGUGUCCACCGCGCGAUUGACAAGAUGGACAGCACCACGGCGGUCCCCUCGACAAAGAUGACUCCGUUUCACCGGCGCCGGUUGCCGUCAUCCGCCCGAGCGCCGCCGUCCGCGGAGCAGCCCCCAGCAGACCGCCGCCGGCCGGUUUCUGGUUACCCAUGUUCCCCAUCGCCGCAGGUGCAACUAUGCAAGUGCGUGCAUUUGGCUGCAACAUGAAGUGGCUGAAAGACAGCUGGUUGAAGGGAAGAUCUACGCCUUGUCGGAUUUCACAGUACGCCCAAGAGAGCAUUAGUACAUGGCCUGUAGAAAUGACUUGAUGAUUUACAUGGAUGGGAGGACAGUGAUAGACGAGAUAGAUAACAAGACUGGUUCUCCAAUACCUCUCCAUAGCUUUGAAUGCAAUUGGCCAGAUAGUAUCCAUUGAAGGCGUGGGGGAGGCUUGGAAGUGGAAAAUUUGGAGCAACAUACCUUUCCGUAACAUAUGUUCACGCGAUUUAAGGGGAAGGGAAUUGAAUGUUGCAAUCUUCGGAGACCUUGGUUGAAAUUUCGAUGCAGAGCAGGUUUUCAAGCAAGGUCGAAAAGCCCCAAUUGUUCCUGUUUUUGCAGGGGUGCUCGUUUGACAAUACAAUGUUUGACGGAUCCACAUAAAUCCUGUAAAUCCAUCUGACUUAAAGUGAGUAGCAUGGGAAGGGGCUCCGACCA
Panicum virgatum (switchgrass) is the source of this 960-nucleotide long non-coding RNA. RefSeq lists it as uncharacterized. The transcript has 6 exons. Lineage: Eukaryota; Viridiplantae; Streptophyta; Magnoliopsida; Poales; Poaceae. The record is from RefSeq and is a predicted model, not a curated record.